Molecule: ribosomal RNA, 400 nt
Filed under: uncultured microorganism
Description: bacterial SSU rRNA
Rfam family: Archaeal small subunit ribosomal RNA
Source: RNAcentral
GUGCACCAGGCGCGAAUACUUUACAAUGUGCGAAAGCACGAUAAGGGAACUCUGAGUGCCUCCUAAGGAGGCUGUUCUGAUGUCUAAAAAGCAACAGAAGUAAGGGCUGGGUAAGACCGGUGCCAGCCGCCGCGGUAACACCGGCAGCCCAAGUGGUAGCCACGUUUAUUGGGUCUAAAGCGUUCGUAGCCGGCCAGGUAAGUUCCUUGGUAAAUUUAGCCGCUUAACGGUUAAGCUUUCAGGGAAUACUGCUUGGCUUGGGACUGGGAGAGGUCAGAGGUACUCCGGGGGUAGGGGUGAAAUCUAUUAAUCCCUGGGGGACCACCGGUAGCGAAGGCGUCUGACCAGACCAGGUCCGACGGUGAGGGACGAAGGCUAGGGGCGCGAACCGGAUUAGAUA